This 537-nucleotide ribosomal RNA is filed under the name Bifidobacterium breve. RNAcentral describes it as "bacterial SSU rRNA". It matches the Rfam family "Bacterial small subunit ribosomal RNA", at positions 157 to 704 of the family's 1533-position model. Lineage: Bacteria; Bacillati; Actinomycetota; Actinomycetes; Bifidobacteriales; Bifidobacteriaceae. The record is from RNAcentral.
CGGGUGGUAAUGCCGGAUGCUCCAUCACACCGCAUGGUGUGUUGGGAAAGCCUUUGCGGCAUGGGAUGGGGUCGCGUCCUAUCAGCUUGAUGGCGGGGUAACGGCCCACCAUGGCUUCGACGGGUAGCCGGCCUGAGAGGGCGACCGGCCACAUUGGGACUGAGAUACGGCCCAGACUCCUACGGGAGGCAGCAGUGGGGAAUAUUGCACAAUGGGCGCAAGCCUGAUGCAGCGACGCCGCGUGAGGGAUGGAGGCCUUCGGGUUGUAAACCUCUUUUGUUAGGGAGCAAGGCAUUUUGUGUUGAGUGUACCUUUCGAAUAAGCACCGGCUAACUACGUGCCAGCAGCCGCGGUAAUACGUAGGGUGCAAGCGUUAUCCGGAAUUAUUGGGCGUAAAGGGCUCGUAGGCGGUUCGUCGCGUCCGGUGUGAAAGUCCAUCGCUUAACGGUGGAUCCGCGCCGGGUACGGGCGGGCUUGAGUGCGGUAGGGGAGACUGGAAUUCCCGGUGUAACGGUGGAAUGUGUAGAUAUCGAAAAA